This 102-nucleotide non-coding RNA is filed under the name Shinella sp. RNAcentral's name for it is "Glycine sequence". It matches the Rfam family "Glycine riboswitch aptamer". From Rfam's summary of the family: This family represents the bacterial glycine riboswitch. Glycine riboswitches usually consist of two metabolite-binding aptamers domains with similar structures in tandem. Lineage: Bacteria; Pseudomonadati; Pseudomonadota; Alphaproteobacteria; Hyphomicrobiales; Rhizobiaceae. The record is from RNAcentral.
ACAACCUCGCUGGGAGAAGCUGGCCGUCCGACCACGGGCAUGGCCAGUGCCGAAGGAGCAACCGCCCCGGAAACUCUCAGGCAAAAGGACCAGCAAGGUGCC